UCCCNUAGUAACUGCGAGUGAAGCGGGAAGAGCUCAAAUUUAAAAUCUGGCGGUCUUUGGNCCGUCCGAGUUGUAGUCUGGAGAAGUGCUUUCCGCGCUGGACCGUGUACAAGUCUCUUGGAACAGAGCGUCAUAGAGGGUGAGAAUCCCGUCUUUGACACGGACUACCAGUGCUUUGUGAUGCGCUCUCAAAGAGUCGAGUUGUUUGGGAAUGCAGCUCAAAAUGGGUGGUAAAUUCCAUCUAAAGCUAAAUAUUGGCGAGAGACCGAUAGCGAACAAGUACCGUGAGGGAAAGAUGAAAAGCACUUUGGAAAGAGAGUUAAACAGUACGUGAAAUUGCUGAAAGGGAAACGCUUGAAGUCAGUCGCGUCGUGCAGGACUCAGCCUUGCUUUUGCUUGGUGCACUUUCUGUACGACGGGCCAGCAUCAAUUUUGACCGUCGGAAAAGGGCUGAGGGAAUGUGGCACCUUCGGGUGUGUUAUAGCCUUCAGUCGCAUACGGCGGUUGGGAUUGAGGAUCGCAGCGCGCCGCAAGGCAGGGGUUCGCCCACUUUCGCGCUUAGGAUGCUGGCAUAAUGGCUUUAAACGACCCGUCUUGAAACACGGACCAAGGAGUCUAACUUACCUGCGAGUGUUUGGGUGGAAAACCCGAGCGCGUAAUGAAAGUGAAAGUUGGGACCUCUGUCGUGGAGGGCACCGACGCCCGGACCUGACGUUCUCUGACGGAUCCGCGGUAGAGCAUGUAGGUUGGGACCCGAAAGAUGGUGAACUAUGCCUGAAUAGGGUGAAGCCAGAGGAAACUCUGGUGGAGGCUCGUAGCGAUUCUGACGUGCAAAUCGAUCGUCAAAUUUGGGUAUAGGGGCGAAAGA
RNAcentral lists this ribosomal RNA (868 nucleotides) under Porogramme brasiliensis. RNAcentral describes it as "LSU rRNA". It matches the Rfam family "Eukaryotic large subunit ribosomal RNA", at positions 76 to 930 of the family's 3401-position model. The record is from RNAcentral. Lineage: Eukaryota; Fungi; Basidiomycota; Agaricomycetes; Polyporales; Polyporaceae.